Long non-coding RNA from Thalassophryne amazonica, 650 nucleotides. RefSeq lists it as uncharacterized. The record is from RefSeq and is a predicted model, not a curated record. The transcript has 2 exons. NCBI's taxonomy places the organism in Eukaryota, Metazoa, Chordata, Actinopteri, Batrachoidiformes, Batrachoididae.
GAGUGACAGAGGGGUAUAAAAUACAGAUUAAUGGGUCAAAGGAGUGAUAGAGGGGUAUAAAGGUAGGAUAGAGGGGCAGAAAAUACAGAUGAAUGGGUCAAAGGAGUGAUAGAGGGGUAUCAAGGCAGGAUAGAGGGGCAGAAAAUACAGAUGAAUGGGUCAAAGGAGUGAUAGAGCGGUAUAAAGGUAGGAUAGAGGAGCAGAAAAUACAAAUGAAUGGGUCAAAGGAGUGAUAGAGGGGUAUCAAGGUAGGAUGGAGGAGCAGAAAAUACAGAUGAAUGGGUCAAAGGAGCGAUAGAGGGGUAUGAAGGUAGGAUAGAGGGGCAUUAAAUACAGAUGAAUGGGUCAAAGGAGCAAUAGAGGGGUAUCAAGGUAGGACAGAGGGGCAGAAAAUACAGAUGAAUGGGUCAAAGGAGUGAUAGAGGGGUAUCAAGGCAGGAUAGAGUGGCAGAAAAUACAGAUGAAUGGGUCAAAGGAGUGAUAGAGGGUAUCAAGGCAGGAUAGAGGGGCAGAAAAUACAGAUGAAUGGGUCAAAGGAGUGAUAGAGGGGUAUCAAGGAAGGAUAGAGGGGCAGAAAAUACAGAUGAAUGGGUCAAAGGAGUGAUAGAGCGGUAUAAAGGUAGGAUAGAGGAGCAGAAAAUACAAAUGAA